Molecule: ribosomal RNA, 497 nt
Filed under: uncultured bacterium
Lineage: Bacteria
Description: partial 16S ribosomal RNA
Rfam family: Bacterial small subunit ribosomal RNA
Source: RNAcentral
GACGAACGCUGGCGGCGUGCCUAAUACAUGCAAGUUGAGCGCUGAAGGUUGGUACUUGUACCAACUGGAUGAGCAGCGAACGGGUGAGUAACGCGUGGGGAAUCUGCCUUUGAGCGGGGGACAACAUUUGGAAACGAAUGCUAAUACCGCAUAAAAACUUUAAACACAAGUUUUAAGUUUGAAAGAUGCAAUUGCAUCACUCAAAGAUGAUCCCGCGUUGUAUUAGCUAGUUGGUGAGGUAAAGGCUCACCAAGGCGAUGAUACAUAGCCGACCUGAGAGGGUGAUCGGCCACAUUGGGACUGAGACACGGCCCAAACUCCUACGGGAGGCAGCAGUAGGGAAUCGUCGGCAAUGGACGAAAGUCUGACCGAGCAACGCCGCGUGAGUGAAGAAGGUUUUCGGAUCGUAAAACUCUGUUGGUAGAGAAGAACGUUGGUGAGAGUGGAAAGCUCAUCAAGUGACGGUAACUACCCAGAAAGGGACGGCUAACUACGUG